GAGGUGAAGUGGUUGAUGCCCUGCUUCCAGGAAAAGCCUCUAAGCUUCAGGCCAUAUGUGACCGUACCCGAAACCGACACAGGUGGGUAGGUAGAGUAUACUAAGGGGCGCGAGAUAACUCUCUCUAAGGAACUCGGCAAAAUGACUCCGUAACUUCGGGAGAAGGAGUGCCUUAUUUAUAAGGUUGCAAUAACAAGAUCCAAGCAACUGUUUAUCAAAAACACAGGUCUCCGCUAAGUCGUAAGACGAUGUAUGGGGGCUGACGCCUGCCCAGUGCCAGAAGGUUAAAGAAGUUGGUUAGUGUAUGCGAAGCUGAUGACUGAAGCCCUGGUGAACGGCGGCCGUAACUAUAACGGUCCUAAGGUAGCGAAAUUCCUUGUCGGGUAAGUUCCGACCCGCACGAAAGGCGUAAUGAUUUGGAUACUGUCUCGGAGAGAGGCUCGGUGAAAUAGACUUGUCUGUGAAGAUGCGGACUACCUGCACCAGGACAGAAAGACCCUAUGAAGCUUUACUGUAACUUGAAAUUGGAAUUGGACUUUGCUUGCGCAGUAUAGGUGGGAAGCGUUGAAGAUAUUCUUGCGGGAGUAUUGGAGCUAUCAGUGAGAUACCACUCUUGUAAUGUUAGAUUUCUAACUUUGAACCAUAAUCUGGUCAAAGAACAGUUUCAGGUGGGCAGUUUGACUGGGGCGGUCGCCUCCCAAAUGGUAACGGAGGCGUACAAAGGUUUCCUCUGAACGGAUAGAAAUCGUAUCUAGAGUGUAAAGGCAUAAGGAAGCUUGACUGUGAGACCUACAAGUCGAGCAGGGACGAAAGUCGGUCUUAGUGAUCUGACGGUACUGAGUGGAAAGGCCGUCACUCAACGGAUAAAAGUUACUCUAAGGAUAACAGGCUGAUCUCCCCCAAGAGUUCACAUCGACGGGGAGGUUUGGCACCUCGAUGUCGGCUCAUCGCAUCCUGGGGCGGUAGUACGUCCCAAGGGUUGGGCUGUUCGCCCAUGAAAGCGGUACGCGAGCUGGGUUCAGAACGUCGUGAGACAGUUCGGUCCAUAUCCGGUGUAGGCGUUAGAAUAUUGAGAGGAGCCUUCUUUAGUACGAGAGGACCGAGAAGGACACACCGCUGGUGUACCAGUUAUCGUGCCAACGGUAAACGCUGGGUAGCUAUGUGUGGAGUGGAUAACCGCUGAAAGCAUCUAAGUGGGAAGCCCACCUCAAGAUGAGUAUUC
RNAcentral lists this ribosomal RNA (1222 nucleotides) under metagenome. RNAcentral describes it as "bacterial LSU rRNA". It matches the Rfam family "Bacterial large subunit ribosomal RNA", at positions 1582 to 2813 of the family's 2925-position model. The record is from RNAcentral.